AAAAAAAAAAAAAAAAAGUCAAGAUCACAGUUAACACUGUUGAGUUUGUGCCUUGCUUAAAGCUCAAUGCUGUUGUUGAAGAUACUGGAACAUGCAGCCUCACUUGUGGGGCUGGCAGAGGCGAAAGCAGCAGGAAUCUUACAGUGAAGCACAUAAGCUGCCAAAAAUCUCAAUUCUGGGUGAUUUGAUUGGGUCUUAAAUUUUCAAUUAACUCUGGUCACCGAGGGAUGAACCUGUCCUUUGAUGGGUUUCAUCUCAGAUGGAGGCCCAUAAAGCAUCACAAUUUCUGCAAAACAGUACCCCAUUAUGCCUUUUGUGUGAGUGUUUUGCCAGCCUUUCCAUGCCAGGCCACUCUAACACCACUUGAAAGCUACCUGUGUCAGCUCUGUGAAAAUCGACUGUGUUUUAUGCACAUUUGGUGCCAGGGACAGUUGGCACGGAGAGCAAUCUGUGUAAUAAGGCCGGUGCCCAGGGCUUGGGCCUUCCUUGAAUGGUCCAGUCCUGCACUGACUAGUACAGGAGCCACCAGCCACAUGGUAUUUAUAUGUAAUCAUUAAUUAAAACAAAGUAAAAUAAAAUAUACCGUUCUUCUGUCACACUAGCCACAUUUCAAGUGCUCAGUAGCCAUGUGUGGCUGGUGACUGCUAUUGGACAGCGCAGACAGAGAACAUUUUUAUCAUCGCCGAAAGUUCUAUAGCUUAACACUGUUCUAGUCUGUUUUCAAGAGAGGAAAACUCGGUUUCAGGUCAGAAUCUGUGUCUCUAACUCAUAACAAUGUACCAUUUUAUCAUGAAGAUUUGCCCUUAGGUUCAUAGUGACCAUAGGAGGAUUCAUUGAUUCCACAAAUAUUUAUUGAAGGUCAACCUUGGGCCAGAUGCCAUGUCUUGGGGACAUGUGGGUGAACCAGACAGGAGGUGUUCCUGGGUUGCCUUAGUCAGCUCGGGUGGCCAUAAUAAAAUACCACAGACUGUCUUAAACAACAGAUGCAUAUUUUCUCAUAGUUCUGGAGGCUGGAAGUUGCUACCCUGGAGAUCAAGGUGCCAGCAUGGUUGGGUUCUGGUCAGGGCUCUCUUGGCUUGCAGACAACAGCCUUCUCAUUGUGUCCUCACAUGGCAGAGAGGCAGGGAGGGAAGACGGGGGUUGAGGGGAAGACAGACAGAGAGCGAGAAAAAGAGAACAGGAGCGAGCACAAGCUCUCUUGUGUCUCAUGUUGUAAGGACACUAGUCCCAUCAGAUUGUGCCCCAUCCUUAUGACAUGAUUUGACCUUCAUUACUUUCUUACUCCAAAUGUAGUCACUUUAGGGGUUACGAUGAUUUGGAAGGACACAAUUCAGUCCAUAGCACCAGACUAUAGAUUGGUACUUUACUUUGGUUCAAUCUCUCUCACAGAUGAAGAACCAGUACUUGAUGCUAGAGUAAUGGAGACUGAUGGGAUGGUGGUAGCCCAGGCUUGAUGAAGGAGUCUGUGUGUCAAGGAAGACUUGAAAUCCUCAGAUGAAGAAAUUGAUUUGGCAGGCAACAAGUAGUAAGUGGGCCCAGAAUCCAGUGUUUCAGCUCUUUCCACUCAAAGCUUAUCCACUGCACAUGAAAGAGAGCUCAGCGCCAACCGCCAGUCCUCUGAAGGGUGUCGCGGUGAUAUUUGUUUGAAUAACUUUAUUGAACUAUAAUUUAAAUACCAUGAAACACACCCAUAUGAAGUGCCUGCGUGAUGAGUUCUGAUAGGUGUAAACAUUUGUAGAACUAUCACCACACUCAAGAUAUAAAACUUUUCCAUCACCCCAGAAAGUUCCCUCAGGUGCCUGCCCUGACCCAGCCAACUGCUGAUCUGCUGUGUGUCACUGUUGAAUAGUUUUGCUUCUUUUUGAAUAAUAUGUACAUAGAAUCAUACAGUGUGUGUGCCUCUGGCUUCUUUAACUCAGCCUAAUGCCUUUGCAGUUCAGUCUGUGCUGUUGUAUGUAUGGAGUCCUUGCUGUUGUAUGUAUGGAGUCCUUGCUGUUGUAUGUAUGGGGUCCUUGCUGUUGUAUGUAUGGGGUCCUUGCUGUUGUAUGUUUGGGGUCCUUGUUGUAUAUAUGGAGUCCUUGCUGUUGUAUGUAUGGAGUCCUGGCUGUUGUAUGUAUGGAGUCUGUGCUGUUGUAUGUAUUGAGUCCUCGCUGUUGUGUGUAUCAAGAGUUCAUUCCUUUUUGUUUCUGAGUAAUAUUCCCUUGUUUGCAUGUGCCACAAUUUGUUGAAUCAUUUUCCUGUUGAACAUUUGGGAAAUUUCCAGUUCGGGGCUAUUAUGAAAAAAAAAGCUGAAUAUCCACGAACAAGUGUUAUGUGUGGAUGUUUUCUCUUCUGUUGGGGAAAUAUGUAGGAGUGGAAUUGUUGGGUUGUAUGCUAAAUACAUGUUUACCUUUAUAAGAUACUGCUCAACUGUUUUCCAAAGUGUUUGUUCUAUUUUACAUUUCCAAAAACAAUGUAUGAGAGUGGAUAGCUUCAUUUUUUUUAUAGGUAAUAGUCAGAGUUACUUUUUAUUCAGCACCUACUGUUGUAUUAAUCUCUUCUAAACAAACUAACAACAAUCUUAUGAGGUAGGUGGAGUCACCCCCACGGUGUAGAAGAAUAAAUUGAGAUACUGAGUUUGGAGCAGUUAUAAAAGAAACUUGCUAGGCCACCAAACACUUGGAGCUUUGCAGGAUAUCUUGUAGUUUUACAGAACAGCAAAGCCUUCACUUUGGCUUUCUUGGUUCCUGAAUCUUCUGUGUGCUGUGGUGGGUUUAAACUGAAUUGAAGGGCUUCAACAUGAAAAAGUUCAAAGGUAAUUUAUUCACCUUUGCCCCUUUCUCAAGCUUGUCUUCUGUUUCUAUUCUUGAGUUCCUCCUUAUAAGACAUUCCCAUGACACACAUUACAAUUUCGAGGAUCAUUCCACACUGCUGCAUUUUACAAAUUCCCAUCUUUGUGGUUUUCCUGUCUAAGAGGACUUUAAGAACUGAUUUUCGGGAUGCUUUCUUCGACAUUGUGCUGACCAGGCUCAUACUUGGCUUUCGGCCACCAGCAUUCUAGCCGUAAACUCUGUAUAUAAAUUUUGGGUGGUCGUGAUAAUAACAGGAUGACAUUCCUUAUUCAAGACAUGCACAUUGCGCAAUAAAUUUUCUACAGGUCCAGUUUUUCUUUGACCUCCAGUCUGGGGGAUUUUAGCCCGACAUACAACUACAGAAGCAGCUGAUAAUCGUUGUUUAUAAGAGUUGUCCUUUCAGUCUCCCUUCACGGCUGGGAAAAAGACUAAUCUAAAAAAAUGGAUCAUGAUUUACAUUAUAUUCUGAAAAUUAAGAAAUGAAAGUUGUGGGGAGCUAAGUGUUUGGGUGCCUAAUGGCUAGUUAUAAAUCCUGGCACUAUUAGCCUUUCUGAUUUCAUGAAGGGAGAUGAUAGGCCAAUUCCAUGGCCUCAUCUAAAAUAAUGUCAAUCUCCAGAAAAGCCUUUAAAACUAAUCAUUAGCUUAAAGGAGUGGUUCCCAACCUUGAGAGUGAAUCAGAAUAGCCUGGAGGGCUUGUCAAAAUGCAGAGUCCUGGACCCCAUCCUCAAAGUUUCUGAUUUAGUAAGUCUAGGGCAAGGCCUGAGAAUCUGCUUUUGUAAUAAGUUCCCAGGCAAUGCUGAUGCUGCUGGUCUGGGGACUACACUUGGAGAACCUUAAAAGAUCAUGUGGAGUACAAUUUUUUUUUUAAUUUGAGUGGAGAUGGCGGAAAAAAAUUAUACUAGUGUGGUCUUUUGAGUAUAAAAUAAAUUCAAUAAAUAUUUACUUACCUACCUAUGUAUUAUGACCAAAUCAUAACUUACUUCCUUUAGGUGACUUGGAAUAUAUUUGGGAGGACAGGCCAGAGGAAUAAAAAUAAGAAUACAAGGUGAUACAAUGAUUCUCAAAGGUUGUUUAAAAAGUUCCCAUGCCCGGCUGCACACUAGACCAAUUAAGUCAGUCUUGGUGGUGUGGUUUGGUUCUGUGUCCCCACCCCACCUACAGUUCACACCACAGAACAGGUGUCAACAGACUCAGCUGAAGUCUGUGAUGUCUCAGGGAGCUGGCUAAGAUGGAUACCUGGCUGCUGGUGCCUGCAGGUUCUGGGAGGGAGGGGGGCGUUUUACAGGGGAGCCCAACAUCGCAAACUAGGGAAAGGAAGGAAGAGAAUUGGAGGGGAUGAGUACUUAUUUGCAUUACAGGAGGAUUCUUGGUUUAAAGUGGGUUUCACCAUGGGGUUCCUUUAGAUAGAGCCUCAAGUACUCUGAAGUGUUUGUUUUGCCUUUCCUUAACGAGGUAUUUAUUACCUCUCUGUAAAUAUGAUACCUGCAGUUUUAGAACAUAACAAAUCCAUCUAUAACAUUUGCAGCUCUUCAGCAGAACUGAGCAUACAGUCACUGACGUUGAUGGCAUUUUUUCUAAGUAAAAACAAACAAACCUUGGAGCAAAAUGUCAGAAGCCCUGGAUGAGGGAAGGUGGAUGACUAGAAGGGAGGCUCUAAGCAGCCCUUGAUAUUGCUGCAAGAGGCCCCAGGGUCAGAGAUGGGUGGGGGGGGACUUUCCAUAUUUCCGCAAAUUUAAGCUCACCCCGGAUGGAGGCUCCUCCUGGUACAGUCCUUCAUCUUCAUGGCAGAAAGGCUGUUCUGCCCCUGCGCCCUCCCUGGCCUCUCUGGGGAUCCCUGCAGAUGAUGUAUUGUGAUGGAGCAGUGGACUUGGACGCUCCUGGUAUUGAUAUAAUCAUUGUUAACAGUAGCAACAGUAAUAACAGCUAAUGUGGCAUGCAUGGUGCUCAGUGUCAAUUAAUCCUUAUAGAGAUCCUGAUUUUACAAAUGAGGAAACAAGGCUCAGUGAGGUUACCUAAUGUGCCCAUGGUUCUGCAGCGAAUAUGUGAUGAGCUAGAAUCAGAACUCAGACUUGCGUUCUUCAAUUCUUUACUCUUAAGGAUUGUGGACCAUACCAACGGUCCCUCGGGUAUGGCUUUGAUAUUUGGUUGGCUGUGAUUGGUCAUUCAAGGACCCCAGCUUUGAUGCUCUCUUUUUGAUUGAGCCCCACUCUAGGGAGAAUUUGGCUGCAUGUUUUGGUGAAUCAUAGAUGGUGGGAAUGAGAAUAGCAACUCAGUGGUUGAGUGUCGUCUUAUGCUGUGUGGUUUGCAAUGCAGCUUGAUAUACUUUAGCUCAAUUAAUCCUUACAAGUCUAGAGACGUUUUUUGUUCUGUUUGACAAAUAGGGAGCCUGACAAAUAGGGUGGUCCUGUCUUGCAGAGCCGCAGCUUGCACUGAGGUCUUCCGACUCCAUGUGCCCUGUGUGUCUCGCUGCUGCCUGGGACCCACAGAGUCUCUGAGGGUCCAGAGCCACAUUAAAGGUCAUGCUGCCCAUGACUUGUUGGGGACCACUUUCCUUAGGUAUCAAGAACAUGAGUGUUGGUCAAUAACCCACUGGAGUGUAGUGCUGGCUUCUGUUGUUCCCGGCUUUAAAAUAGGGCUAGAUUUGACCUCCAGCUCAGAUUCAGAAGGCCAAGUCUGAGCUUGAGUAUGUGUUGAUGGCUGCCACUUAGUCCCAGUUUUGUAAGUGUGCCAAUAUCGGGACUUUUCCUGUGCUGAAUAUAGACUCCUCCUUUGCUGAAAAUAGUAUAUGCGGUAGGGUAGGGAAACAUUUUUCUUUCCUAGAAAAUCGCUCCUUGCUCCUCUAGGUAACACUGACUUCUGUGAAACCAUCUGUUCCUUCCAGUAUAAUUUCCAGACUAUUAGAUUAAACAGUUUCUCCUGACCCACUUUUGGCUUCUGUUUCUUUUCACUGUUCAUUAAUAAAUUGUGUAGCAGAGUUUUUAUGGAGAGUGUGUGUGUGUCUAUUUACUUAAUUUCAGUUUAGGCAAAAGCAAUUGUUGGGUGCAGUGAAGUUAUUUAACUUCCUACUUGUGUUUCAUUUUUGUUUCCGGUUUCUAUAAUUGCUAAGAGUUGGUUUUUGUUUUUGAGAUUCAUGCAAGGAAGUCAAUGGCAUGAGUUAUGAGUUGAGGUUCUGGCUGGGAGGUGUGUUAAAAACAGACCCUGUUUUUAAACAGAAGAUGCAAAGAGUAAUAAGGAAAUCGGUUCCCAUAAAAUAUGUCUCAAAGUAGAUAAAUAUGCUCUUACAGUUUGAAGAGAUUUUUAAAAGAUAAAUGAGAUAAUAUGUGUGAUGUAGCUUUAAGUUUUUCUGAGCAAAGCUGCUAUAUUCGUCUUUGGUAUUGUUGCUUUUGAUGUUGCAACCAAGUCUGCUAUUAGCGUUAAUGUUAUUGUUAAAUAUUCACUAAUGGGAGUAAUAAGAUUAGAUUUAAAAGGAAGGAAGGCAUUCUUUACAUUCCUUUGCAUUCCUUUCUGAAUGUAAAAACUCUUCAUGCUCUUUUCCCAGCUACUCUAAAUCCAGACCAAGGAGCAACACUACUCAGUCUUGUAUGAAAAUGGGCUCAGUUGUGUGUGUGUGUGUUCAUGUGCAUAUGUGUGUAACCCAAGCAGUAAAUUUCAGCAACUAAGGCUGCCUUCAGUAAAAUGAAAUUCCUUGCUGAUGACUGUUAUCUGUCAAAGCAAAACCAAAUUAUUUUUCUGCAGGGAUUCAUAAAAGCAGCCUUGAGGUAGUGAUAAUAAUUGUUAUCUAAUUUGGUUAAAGCGGAACAGAAAACAAGUUAAUAUUCUAUGCACCCUACUAAUUAUUAUUAGCAAUAUUGCUUUAAAGAAUUUUAUAACGAAGCUUUCUCUAAUUUCACUGGGUCCACUGUCGUUUUAUAGUUUGACCAGAUUUCACCAAUGCUUCAGAAGACAGGAGUCCUGUUGAAUUUUAUCUACGAAAUAUUUUCAAAAGCAAAUCUGGUGUGAAAAGGAAACUGGUUGCCAUGCUGUGAGCUGACCUGUGGAGAGACCCAUGUGGCAAGGAACCGAGGGAGGCUUCCUGUGAACAGGCAGUGAGGAAUUGGGGCCCUAAGCCCAAUAGCCCUGGAGGAAGUAAAUAUGAAUCUUGCUCAACAACUGUGUGCAUGAGCUUGGAAGUGGAUCUUCCCCCAGUGGAGCCUUGAGAUGACUUCAGCCCCGGCCGAUGUCCUCAGGCAACCUCAUGAAAGAUUUUGAGCCAGAGGCACCCAGAUAAGCUGCACCUGGAUUCCUGACUCACAGAAACUGUGAGAAAAUAAAUGUUGUUUUAAGCCACUGUUUUGUGGUAAUUUGUUAUAUAUUAAUAAUGAAGGCAGUUUAUGUUAAAAAGUCUUGCUUCUAUAUGAGAGACAACAUCAUGGAGUUGCUGGGAGCACAGACUCUUGAGCCAACCUGGCUCCAGAUUCUGGCUCUGCUACUUAUUAGCUGUGUGACCUUGAGAAAGUCACUUCACUUCUCUGUGCCUCAGUUUCCUUAUUGGGAGAUGGGAAAUGUAGCUUUUGGCCCCCAGGCUCUAUAUUUCAGGAAGAUUAGCUAGAAAGAGGUGGAAAUGGGUUUUAAUUGACACAGUCCACAGUCUGUGUCACAGUGAGUAUUACAAAGGGGUCACAUUAAUAGUUUUUGUGACACUCUCAAGUCACUUAAACUCCCCCAGGAAGCUCCUGUUUGGUUGGGGACAAUUUUCCAGAGGAAGGGGCAGCUGUGAGUGCUUAGCAGCCACCACACAGCACCUGGGAGAUUGGAGCAAUAGUCCUUUAAAGACCAUCAACAAGAGUGGUCCCUACGAUGUUCUUCUGCUAAUCUAGAAGCAAAUGAUCACUGUGUUCAUUUUUCCAUUUUUGUCAUUUCUUUGAUACUAUGGAGACACAUGCUUAGCAUGUUUUUCUAAUUUCAUGCCAUGGGCCUGUUGAGCAGAGCUCAUCACUUCUCAAGAUUAAAUUAUAUGUUUAAGAAAUGCCUUCUGUGUCAACCACAGUUAUUCAUCAGCCUUGCUGUAAGUGGCUAAGCCUAGCUUUCAGCUGUGAAAGUCAAGAUUUGUGACAUUUAAACAUAUUGAUGAGAUGCAAAUGUCCUGUGGUUAGCCUUCCACAAGGCCCUAGCACUCAUGUAAAUAAAUAAGAAGGAAUUGGAAGGGUGGGCAGCAGAGCCCUCCCUUGAAUAGGAAAAUUGUUUUUUCCUGGGUGCCAGCAUCUGGUCGCUGCCGUCAGUGGUAAUGAGGUUCGGCUCUUCCCAUAUGUCCCUGAUUCAUUGAGGGUUGUUUAUUUGUAGAUACAACUAGACUGUUUUUCUCCUUUUUCUUUUCUUUUUUUAAACUAGGUUUCCCUAACUCAGCACCACCACCGCCUCUCUAAAAAUAAGCAUCAAAUUAUUUGUCUAGGGAAACAUUUUUUAAAUGAUACUAGCUCUCCUCAACUUGUGAAAGUUUCUUGUGUCUUCUUGCUGUUUUCACUUUAUCUGCUCUCUAGCAGAAAAAUAAAAUUGCAUUCGAUUGACACACUUUCCUGCUGGGAAUUCAAGACAUAUUACAGCCCUGUCUGUGUGUUCUCAGUUGUGAUGAAACUGUGGAAAAUCCCCAGCAACCUUAAAUGAGAUAGGUGCAGGUGAUUAAUCCAGUUUCAGGAAGAAAUCAAAUAAUUUACUCCUUUUUCCCCAUUAAAGAAACAACCAUGCAUUGAGGUAGCUGAUGCCAUGUGAGCAGGAGUGUGCUUUAAUGGAGGCACCAUUAAUAAUUUACCUUAAUAGUGUAAUAGUUGCCAUUUUUGUGACCAAAAAUUUGUUUCAGUCCCUGCUUUAUGGAUGAAAAGUAGGAUCAAUUAAUAUUGAGUGAUGACAGCCUCCCUGUGGAGAGAAAAUGGGAAAUCUUGGUGUCGUCAUCCGCCUUAUGACUAAGAAAUAGCUUUUCUUAAUUGUACGGAACAGAGAAACCCAGGGGGAUGUAAUUCAUUUCUCUCCAGCUUGCAAUGUAAGUUGAAAGUAAAGAAAAAUAACCACAUGCCAGAGUGAGGACAUGAACUCAACCACUAAGCUAUAUCUGAUUUGUAGGAUUUGCUGGAAGUAAGCAGACAGUUUCCCCCACGAUGGUGAGUCUCCUUCAACUGUGGCAUUGCUCCAAAUACCUCUUAUAGCACGUGACCCAGGGUGUUUCUCUCUGAUGGGGUAAUGGAGCCUGUCUGCCUAGAAGCAUUGGGUCCCAGGUCUUCUCCCAGCUCAUUCCCUCUUCCCUCCCAUCCUUAUAGUCUCCCCCUAAAUGCUACCUUUUCAGAGAGGCCUUCUUUUACCACCUUGCCCCAAACAGCCUCUUUCCUUGCCCAACUCGCUGUCAACCUCUGCUUUCUAUCUUAUUUUCUUUGUGGAACUUACGAUCAUCUGAAAUCAUAUUAUUAUUUAUGUGGUAUUUACCAUGUCCUCCAACCAUAAUGGUAAGCUCCAUGAGGGCAUGGUUUUUCCUUGUUCUCUAAGCAGCUAAAUCCUUAGGGCCUCAGUGCUGAGGAUGCUUGUUGAGUGACUGAAUGAGUGAAUCAUUAGUAUGAAAAUGCAAUAAUUCAGAAUAAUUUAAAACUCUUGCACAUGCACACCAGCUUUCUGUAAAGGUAUAUUGACUUUAAGGUUCCCCUCUGCCUUCUCCAUCUUGAGCCCCUACUGGCAGAACCCAAUAGAAAUUCAACUGGCAAAGCGAGGAUGCAGUUUGCACAGUCCUCGCCCCACCACACAGGUCAGACUUGGAUCAGAAAGACGGCAACUAAAUGACCAGCACAGUCCAACCAUUCAGAUUCUCAGCAUUCACAUAUCCUCCUACACAUUUUCAACUUGGCACAACAGCAGGACAGCUUUGUUUCUGCCUAUGAUGUGUCUAUGCUUCAUACGGUAUUCACACUCUUAAGGGAAGACAAAAAGUCCCAGUUGGCAUGGUGUCUGUCUCUGGGUGGGAUGAAUUAUUUUCCUGGUUCUGUCUGUAGGAUAUAGAAUAUUUAUCUGGGAUUGGUGGAAUGAGAGGAGGAAUUAAUGUUGCUUCAAUAUGGAAACCGUGACUGCUGGGACUUGGCUUUUGCCCUCAGCCAGCACCUUCUGUGGCAGAGGUUUAUUUAUUACCUGGUGGAAUAACCUAGGGAUCUUAAUCCUCAGUGAUUCUCUCUGUAUGUCUGUUAGUUGCUUUAGUUUUCCAUUGAUUUUUUACUCUUGGACAUGGAAGUACCAAGAGGCACUCUAGAGACUCUCCAGGUGCCAGGCAUACUCUUCUCUGCCCCUGUCGUAUGGCAGCAAUGGCAGCAGUCCAGUUUCCCUGUGGAAAUUGGGAUCAUUCACCCCAGUCAGUAGGGUAAUUGCCUUCUUUGCCUUUUGUUUCUGUGGCAUUGGUAGUCUAAAAUAGCCAAGGGGCAAUCUCAGCUUCUAGUUCAGUAAAACCACUGCAGUGUCUCCUGGAGGGAGCAUUCCUUUCUUGGGAACCAGCAGCUCCAAAUCUGCAGAUUCAAAAAUUGUGGGGCUGGUAAGCAAAACUCUAAGCAUACUAGGUGUCUUGGUCUGUUUGUAUUGCCAUAGAAGAAUACUUGAAACUGGGCAAUUUAUAAAGAAAAAAGGUUUAUUUGGAUUAUGAUUCCACCGUCUGUACAAGAAGCAUGGCAUCAGCAUCUGUUUCUGGUGAGGGCUUCCAGGAGCUUCCAAACAUUGUGCAAGUGGAAGGGGAGCUGGUGUGUCACAUGGUGAGAGAGGAAGCAAGAGAGGAGGAGGUGCCAUGCUCUUUUAAACAACCAGUUCUCACGUGAACUCACUCAUUACCUCGAAGGAGGACACCAAGCCUUUCGUGAGGGAUGUGCCCCUAUGACCCAAACACCUCCCACUAGGCCCCACCUCCAACGUGGGAGAUCAAAUAUCAAUAUGAGAUUUGGAGGGGACAAAUAUCCAAACCAUAUCACUAGGUUUAAGAGGAGAGGAGCCAUUUUUGCUUCUACCCCUUGAUGGCUAGUCCUGUGUAUUCUGGCUGGGGAAGAAAUAGAACUGAUGCAACUUGUAUUCUUUGUCCUGAAAGAGUCCAACUUGUCAAGAUGUCAUCUCCCAACUGGCUCCAUGGGGAAUGUUGGGCUAACAAAUGGUGCUUUUUAAAACAAAGUACAGAAUUUUUGCAAAUACAGUGGUGGCUAAGGCUCUUUUGACUUUAACACUGCAUUGCAUGGUGAAUCAGUGGUUUAAAAAUUGCAUUGGAGGGGAGCCUAUUUUUUUUUCUUCACCUCUCCUUGAGUGCUUUAAAGUGGCCAUCAGAUGCCCAUAGAUGUCCAGUCUGCUGUUCCCAGCAUCACUCAUCACCAGAGAAUCGGCUGGCUUCCUGGGGGUGUACUGGUAUCUUUCUCAUGGUCAGCCUUUGUUUAUCUUGGGGGAGGAGGGCAAAUAGCAGCAGCUUUCACUAAUUAAUCAGCAGCUGUGUAUCAGUCCAUCACCCUGCAUGUCAGGGAAUAGUGCUGGCAGAGUGAUUAAAAGCAUGGGCUUUUGUGUGGCACAGCUCUGGGCUGAGGCCUGCAGAUUUGCUGGGAGACCCAUCUCUCUCAUUUGCUCUGUGACCUCGGAUGAGUUACUUGGGCCCUGUGAGUCUGAGUUUCUUAUCUGUAAAAUGCAGUAUAUUUCCUGGCGUUGUUAGAAUUGAAUAAAGUCAUCAGAAAAGGGAUUGGUUAGGCCCCUAGAUAAUUCUCAGUAAAUGAUAGCUAUUUUUAUACCAAAUGCAAAGAAGAGUCAAACGUAAGUACAAGAUUUGUCCCCAAGACAGGAAUGAUGUAAAGAAUUCCUUUGAACCUUCAUUCCUUCAUCUACAAAAUGAGGACGUUUGUCCUAAUCGAUCCAUCUCCAAGGGCUGUUGUUCACCAUAUUGGGUGGGCAACUGCACGACAGAACAGUGUGGAAUGUGGCACACCCCAGGUCACCAGGGCCACAGGCAUUGGUCAGAGAAGUCAGUGUUCACAAGGGCAAGGGCAGCCUGGAGAGGUAGGUUUCGUGCUUCUAGGACAGGGAAGGAUAGGGAGAAGUAGGAGGACUUUGAGGGACGCUCCCUCUCUAAGGGAGUAGCUAGCAGGGUGGAAGAAAGUAAAAAUGCCUUGUACUAAUAGAAUGCUUUCAAGAAUACAGAAUAUUUGGCCAGGUGCAGUGGCUCACAACUGUAAUCUUAGCACUUUGGGAGGCCAAGGCGGGUGGAUUGUCUGAGCUCAGGAGUUCCAGACCAGCUUGGGCAACACGGUGAAACUCCGUUUCUACUAAAAAUAAUACAAAAAAAUUAGCCAGGCAUGGCGGUGCAUGCCUGUAGUCCCAGCUUCUUGGGAGGCUGAGGCAGGAGAAUUGCUUGAACCCAGGAGGCGGAGAUUGCAGUGAGCCAAGAUCACACCACUGCACUCCAGCCUUGGGGACAGAGCCAGACUCUAUCUCAGGAAAAAAAAAAAAAAAAAGAAUACAGAGUAUUUUUGUGGACCUUAUUUAAUCAUCUGACAGGAAGGUAGUUCAAGUCUUACCGGAUUUUUCAAUAGGUGUGAUAAGAUUAUCAAUAUGUGGACAUUUGGCACCCCACAGCACACCCAGUCACCUGGUAUCAUGGAGUCCGGCCCAGUGUUGGGGUGGAGGUGGUAUACUCUGGUCAACAGUGUUGACCUAAUUGUGCUGAAGGAAUAGACAGGCAAUUGCAGACUGAAAGUACUGUUUGUGUAUGUGUGUACGUGUGUGUACACCAUGGUUGUCCAAAGUCACUUCCUCAGAAAAUCUAAAUGGGAAAUGAGUGUUAUCGAUGAGUUCAUUAAUAGCCAACAGAUUUCCUCGUAUCAUUUAGAAGGGAGAUGAACUUUUGGAGUCGCCCUACCUGUCUGACUCUGUGCAGAUGAGGAAACUGAGGCCAUUGAUGGAGAAAGAAAUCUCCCAGGGCCAGUCAACCUGGUCGUGCCAGCCCCUGGAAGAAUCCAGAGUUCUUGGCGACUCACCAUGGCUCCACAUUGGCCCCUUGCCUCAGCUUUCAGUCGUGUAACAUUGUGUUAAUCACUUCAGCUUCAGGCGUCAUUCC
This is a long non-coding RNA of Pongo pygmaeus (Bornean orangutan), 12906 nucleotides long. RefSeq lists it as uncharacterized. The record is from RefSeq and is a predicted model, not a curated record. NCBI's taxonomy places the organism in Eukaryota, Metazoa, Chordata, Mammalia, Primates, Hominidae. The transcript is spliced from 3 exons.